CGCGCAGGUGGUUUCUUAAGUCUGAUGUGAAAGCCCACGGCUCAACCGUGGAGGGUCAUUGGAAACUGGGAGACUUGAGUGCAGAAGAGGAAAGUGGAAUUCCAUGUGUAGCGGUGAAAUGCGUAGAGAUAUGGAGGAACACCAGUGGCGAAGGCGACUUUCUGGUCUGCAACUGACACUGAGGCGCGAAAGCGUGGGGAGCAAACA
This 207-nucleotide ribosomal RNA is filed under the name uncultured bacterium. RNAcentral's name for it is "partial 16S ribosomal RNA". It matches the Rfam family "Bacterial small subunit ribosomal RNA", at positions 568 to 774 of the family's 1533-position model. The record is from RNAcentral.